UGCAAUGUGGCUAAAAUUGAGACACAGGUCAUGCUUCCAUCAGAGUAAAUGUUUACAGUGGUGAUAAUGAGACUUAAAACAUUU
Cavia aperea (Brazilian guinea pig) is the source of this 84-nucleotide small nucleolar RNA. The record is from Ensembl. Lineage: Eukaryota; Metazoa; Chordata; Mammalia; Rodentia; Caviidae.